GAUGAACGCUGGCGGCGUGCCUAAUACAUGCAAGUCGAGCGAACGGACGAGAAGCUUGCUUUUCUGAUGUUAGCGGCGGACGGGUGAGUAACACGUGGAUAACCUAUCUAUAAGACUGGGAUAACUUCGGGAAACCGGAGCUAAUACCGGAUAAUAUUUUGAACCGCCUGGUUCAAAAGUGAAAGACGGUCUUGCUGUCACUUAUAGAUGGAUCCGAGCUGCAUUAGCUAGUUGGUAAGGUAACGGCUUACCAAGGCAACGAUGCAUAGCCGACCUGAGAGGGUGAUCGGCCACACUGGAACUGAGACACGGUCCAGACUCCUACGGGAGGCAGCAGUAGGGAAUCUUCCGCAAUGGGCGAAAGCCUGACGGAGCAACGCCGCGUGAGUGAUGAAGGUCUUCGGAUCGUAAAACUCUGUUAUUAGGGAAGAACAUAUGUGUAAGUAACUGUGCACAUCUUGACGGUACCUAAUCAGAAAGCCACGGCUAACUACGUG
This 497-nucleotide ribosomal RNA is filed under the name uncultured bacterium. RNAcentral describes it as "partial 16S ribosomal RNA". It matches the Rfam family "Bacterial small subunit ribosomal RNA", at positions 28 to 507 of the family's 1533-position model. The record is from RNAcentral.